RNAcentral lists this long non-coding RNA (5358 nucleotides) under Homo sapiens (human). RNAcentral describes it as "HSALNT0323244". The record is from RNAcentral. Lineage: Eukaryota; Metazoa; Chordata; Mammalia; Primates; Hominidae.
GCUAUUUAAUAUUAAACCAAUUAAUAUGAAUAUCCUAUCUCAUGCUGUCUCUAAACUUUAGAAGACAGUCUUUUAUUAUUGCAUAAAAAUCUGUUGGAAAUAAUUUCUUAAGAUCAUAAAGAGUGCAUUACAUUUUCAUUAUAUUAUAAGCAAAAUUUCAUCCCUACAAAAUAGAAUGCCUAUUUAACUCAAAUAAAUUUGAUAUACUUCCUUUUGGUUAAACAAGUAUAUUGCAUUUUAUAAGUAAAUUAUUUGGACUUGUCUGGCUUGUAUCUGUCUUAAAUCUUUUAGCAGAUGUGGAAAACAUGUUUAUUUUUGCAGUGUUCAAUAAUUGUCUGCUAGGUUUUGUCACUGAAUGCAAGCUCUAAUUCAACUUCUGCUGAGAAUUAGGCUUAAGUUAUGAUUGAGAAUAAGAAAAUUAUGAGCAAGUUGCCAAUUAUAUCUUGAAAAAUGUUUACUUCUAAACAUUUUGUUCUAAGUUGCAUAUUUCAUUUAAACAUGUCAAUAUUCUUUAAUAUUAGUCUAAUCAUUUAAAGGAUGUUAGUUUUUUUGUGUAAGAAACACACAAUUAAUCAAUGCAUUUUCAUUAACCACACCUGUGGGAGGCCUCAUUUGGAUUUGAACCAGGAGACCACUAUUGACAGUUAUCCCAAACAAAGACAUAAUAUUAACCUAGGAGCCCCAAAUAUGUGUAGUGAGGAAAACUCACAAUGGUUUGCCAGUGUUCUUAUUACAUUAUUUCAAACUAAGGAAUUUGAUUUUGUAAAUUAAAGUAUGCCAAACAUCCUCAGAAUCUAAGUGUUGCACUGACCAAUAUGGUAAUGCACUAGCCCCAAGUGACUAUAUGCUAAAUUUAAUUAAAAUUAAAUGAAAUUUAAAUUUAAUACUUCAGUCCCACUGCUAUACUUCAAGAACUUAAUCCCAAAUAGCUAGCACUUUCAUAUUAGAAAGUGCCUAUAUAGUUCCUGUCCAUCACAGCAGGGUAUUUCAUUGGACAACACUAGUCUAGCGUUUCCAUUUUCUAUAGUAAUGAAAACUAAAGUGAAAAAGAACUACUGAAAUAAUAUGAAUAGUAAAUAGUCAUUUUUUUAUUUCUGUAUUUUUCUCUGCCCACUUGUUUCUUAUAUUAAUACAGAAUCAUCCAAUAAGAUUUCAGCCUAAAAAUGGAAUAAUUUAUUUUAAUUAAUAAAUAAUUCAGAAAAACAAUCAAGAGUUAAUCUUAUGUUUUCUGAGGUAUGUUUUCUGAGAAUAUAGAAAAAAAACCUGAGUGUUAGAUGAAUAUUAACUUAUACAGAGAAAUCUAAAAUAAAGAUCUAUUUAUCAGUGGCAAAUUAGGCAAAACUAGUAGACAAAAUUCACUUCAAUUUAUAGUACCACACAUUUGAGAGAAUCCUCCAUUCUUUUCUCAUAUUUUCAAAGAAUGAUACAUUUCAGGGUUAUUUCUCCACGCCUACCUUUCUUAGAAAAAGUGGCUAAUUUGAGGCUUUCUUUUUUUUUUUUGAGAUGGAGUCUCGCUCUGUCAGCCAGGCUGGAGUGCAGUGGUGCAAUCUCGGCUCACUGCAACCUCCGCCUCCUGGGUUCAAGUGAUUCUCCUGCCUUAGCCUCCCGAGUAGCUGGGAUUACAGGCACCUGCCACCACACCUGGCUAAUUUUUGUACUUUUAGUACAGGCGGGGUUUCACCGUGUUGGCCAGGCUGGUCUUAAGCUCUGGACUUCAAGUGAUCCGCCCGCCUUGGCCUCCCAAAGGGUUGGGAUUACAGGCAUGAGCCACUGUGCCUAGCACUUUGAGACUCUUGCUACUUACGUCAUUUUGCUAGUAAAGGGGAUCAUUGGGCCCAAAAGCAAGUCUCUAUGUGUACUUGCUGAGAGCAGCCUGUGCUCAGAUACAGCAGGCUCCUUCAGCCUGCUCUUUCACUCUGUGUCCAGGUACACUGUGCUCUCGCUGUGCAAUUUUCUCUCCAGGACAGAGCUUUCCCUCUUUCUGUUUCAGGUUUAGAUCGUCUUGUAGGAAUGACUUGACUACAAUUCAAACAAUAUGGACCUCACUUCAGUCCCAGAUCUAAGCACAGUCUGUAAAGAAGCUUUUACCUGAGAGUCCUACAUUGCUCGACUAUUUUAAAAAAAUGGUUCCCAUAGGACUAUUAGUUCUCUAUUAUUUGUUCCAUUAGCCUGAACCUGGGGAGAAUAAGAUUUUUUUAAUAAAUGGAAAGCACAAUGUACAAUAGUGUUUCUUAAGCUUUUUUGGUUAUCCCCUCCACCCUGCUUGCCAAGGAGCCUUUUUAGAUAUUUUUUCCCUAAUCCCCCACUAUGAAAUUAUAAUACCCCAGAUAUGCUGUAUCUGUAAUUACUGUAUGUAUGUCUGUGCUUAAUAUUGUACAUUAAAAAGAUAAGAACUUUCCACCUUCCAAUAAUGAAGUUUUAUCCCCUUGGGGGCGAUAUUGCCCUCUUUGAUAAUGUUUGACAUACAGGAAUUGAAACAUCAGAAAUAGAUACUACUUUCAAUAUUGCAGAACAUUGUCAAGUAUAUUUCAAACCAUUUAGCUUGCUAGAGUGUGGAAAUUAAGAAAAUUUUUUUUUCUUCCUGCAUGCAACAUAAUUUGCAUAUAUCAACAGCGAUGUAAGUAAGGAAAUAACUUAUUUGGGCUUUCUGAAAAGUCAUAGUAUCUGAAAUCACCUGGCCCUUGACCUUAAAAGAUCUUAUGUCAUUCUACUCCAGCAUUUUUCACUGUAAUUGCUUAUAGGCAGGGAAGGAUUGUGGAAGAAUGAGAGACAAGGAUAUGGAGAAAGAACAGAGAAAUGGCUGUAGGUACCUAGAUCAUGGCAUAUGGUACAUCUUUAACUUUCCAAUAACCAUUAAUUCAAGCCCAUUAGCCAAUAGCUUGCUCAUGUUUCUUUUGAAGCCUCCUAAAACAAUAGUUGACACCUGGAGAACAUCUCUUACUCCCCAACUUCAAUUAUGAAAAGAAAAUAAUAUUCAAAUGUUAAGCACUGAAUUCAAUAAGAGAAAGCCAGUCACAGAUUAAAGAAAUAAUUGCUAAGAUUUACACUAACCUGUUUUUUCACUUAGUCAAAAAUGUCCUCCAUAUUGGUUGAUAAAUCAAGAAAUCUUUACAAUUAAAAUAAAUGGUGCUUCACUGAUAUUUUCUUCCAUUAUGCUUUAUAAAACUAAUAGAAUAUGGGUUUUCAAAGAGUAACAUAUUAUUCUUAAAAUGUAUUCAAUUAAAGUUAACACAGGCAAAAAUACACUCUCUAAUGUAUUCUAUCAUGCAUUCCCUCAUUCAGUGAAUACUCUCUGUGGGCCUACUAUGUGCCAGGCAUUAUGCACCAGACGAAAACAUAUCUUCUUGAGAAGCCAGUGCUAAGUCACUGUUCUUGUUCAUAUUUGGAUCCCUUCCCUUUUCAGGUGAGUUUCUUACAAGAAAAGGGCUUAGUGUCUUUUCCCUUUGUUAAGUUUCUUAAUGAAAUUAGGCUUAGGAAGACUGAGUUCCCUAUUCCGUCCUUUCUCUUCCUAAAUCUUUACUGUAUGUUGAGAGUAAAUAUUAAAAACUUUCUGACUGUACUUAUCAUAUUCCAAGGCAUUUCAGUGAGGAGCAGAAACAAGCUUUUUAUUAAAUCAUCUCCAGUCAUGUAAGGUUUUGGUGCUCUCCUUUUCACCCUUUUUUUUUUUUUUUUCACAUGGAAACUUAAUCUUGGAGGGGCUAAGUGAAUACAACUUCGAUUAAAUUACUACUUUCACAAACAACUCAAGAAUACUUAGUUCUUCUCCCUCUUCAUUAGCUUCUAUCUUCGUAUUUCUUAUCAAAUAUAAAAUUUAUAGAGAAUUUAUACCAUAAAUUCUCUCAAAUGAUGCACUUAAAAUAAUUUCAUGAUUAAAAACUAAUAUUAUCUACCUAUGCUAAUCUGAAACAUUAGCCUACAAUUGUUAUUUAUUCACUUUGGGGAAAGAAGAAAAAAGUUUUGAGUAGUUACACUCCAUUUAUUAAAAAUCCUUUAUUUUCUAGUGUCUAAAAUAUUUCAAUGUCUAGGAAGAAAAAAAAUCCUCUUGUGAGGUUAAUAAUGUAUUCAAAGCAUUUUUCUAUUAGUUAGUGAAUUUAAAAAGCACAUACAGAAAGAACACAAGUGGUAACAGAAAAGUGAGGAUGAUCUAACCCUACCUCACAGCCUAAAAAAAGAAUGCUAUGACUUGUUUCUGUGAGGUCCCCAAGUGGCAAGGAGAGAGUGCUCCAUGGGGAGCUAACACCUGACAUUUUGCACAGAAAGGUGUCUCCUAGAAUUACCUCACACUCUGCAUAGAUAUAGAGAUUACUGUCAUCUUCAGUGAGUUUGAGAGGGGCCUAUAAAUAGGAUCAGGUGAGGUCUGAAUAAGCAAUGAUGUGUGUCUGAUCUUCUGAUCCAGAAUGAAAUGAAAACAUAAUUAGUUAACACGGAAUGUGCUUUUAAAAUGCAGAUAUGUAAUCCUUAUCUUACUUUUGUAUGUCUCUCAUUUUUACCUUUGUUUACUGCAAAUGAUAUGUGAGGUAGCAUCCUGCCCUAUUAAGUAUGCAGAUAUGGAGAACAUUCAGUAAGAUAGCUUUUCAUUAUUUAUUUAGGCAGAACAUACAGUACUUGAAAUCUGUGGGUUGCCAUGAGGUUCCCAUGGCAACUCUUCUAUGGAUAAGAAUGCUUGACUAGGCUGGUAGACUUGCUGUUACCAUCACCAGCCAUACCAUCAUUUGAGGAUACAGUACUCUCCCCUCAUCUGUGCUGUCACUUUUCGUGGUUUCAGUUACCUUCAGUCAACCAUGGUCUGAAAAUAGGUUGGUUCAUUAACGGAAAUAUUAACAGCAACUUAUAUGUACUUCUCCACUUGUUGCUCCAAGAGAUUUACAGCCUCUUUUUCUGUCUUCAGAUACUACUUUGAAAACAAGAUGAAAGCCAUGGAAUCUCCCGAGAAAAAUGUACAUCUUACAGACUUUCAGUGAGUUCUGGAAUACCAGGAACCAGAGCCCACACUAAUGAACAGCAGUUUCCUAACCUAAUGCGAGAGAUUUGAGAUUUCUUCUGGCUCCCAUGAUCUUCUAAUUGUCUUCUUAGCAAGACUAAACACAUCUCCAAGAAAUGUGCACUGCCAUGAAUGUCUUCCAGCUAUCUUCUAUGACAGCACUUCCCAGUGUGUUCUGUGGAAUAAUGGUACAGGGUGAUAUUCUAUGAAGAAAAAUACGGAAAGUAAUAUACUCCACAGUCCGUAUAUUAGAUCGGACUAAUAAAAAUAAAUAUGGAAAGUAAUAUAUUCCACAGUCAUAUAUUAGAUCGCCUACACAACAGCAAUUUGAUAUAGUUUAAUAGGAUUUGAAUGAAUAAAAUUAAUGCCCACAGCUA